GAUGAAGAACGUAGCGAAAUGCGAUACGUAGUGUGAAUUGCAGAAUUCAGUGAAUCAUCGAAUCUUUGAACGCACAUUGCGCCCGUCAGUAUUCUGGCGGGCAUGCCUGUUCGAGCGUCAUUACGCCCCUCAAGUCCCCUGUGGACUUGGUGUUGGGGAUCGGCGAGGCUGGUUUUCCAGCACAGCCGUCCCUUAAAUUAAUUGGCGGUCUCGCCGUGGCCCUCCUCUGCGCAGUAGUAAAACACUCGCAACAGGAGCCCGGCGCGGUCCACUGCCGUAAAACCCCCCAACUUUUUAUAGUUGACCUCGAAUCAGGUAGGACUACCCGCUGAACUUAAGCAUAUCAAUAAGCGGAGGA
This 358-nucleotide unclassified non-coding RNA is filed under the name soil metagenome. Its description in RNAcentral is "partial contains 5.8S ribosomal RNA, internal transcribed spacer 2, and large subunit ribosomal RNA". The stretch from base 1 to 120 matches the Rfam family "5.8S ribosomal RNA", at positions 35 to 154 of the family's 154-position model. The record is from RNAcentral.